RNAcentral lists this ribosomal RNA (487 nucleotides) under uncultured bacterium. RNAcentral describes it as "bacterial SSU rRNA". It matches the Rfam family "Bacterial small subunit ribosomal RNA", at positions 137 to 611 of the family's 1533-position model. The record is from RNAcentral.
CGGGGGAUAACUAUUGGAAACGAUAGCUAAUACCGCAUAAUAUCUUUGAUUGCAUGAUUGAAGUUUGAAAGAUGCAACUGCAUCACUACCAGAUGGACCUGCGUUGUAUUANCUAGUAGGUGAGGUAAAGGCUCACCUAGGCGACGAUACAUAGCCGACCUGAGAGGGUGAACGGCCACACUGGGACUGANACACGGNCCAGACUCCUACGGGAGGCAGCAGUAGGGAAUCUUCGGCAAUGGGGGCAACCCUGACCGAGCAACGCCGCGUGAGUGAAGAAGGUUUUCGGAUCGUAAAGCUCUGUUGUAAGAGAAGAACGUGUGUGANAGUGGAAAGUUCACACAGUGACGGUAACUUACCAGAAAGGGACGGCUAACUACGUGCCAGCAGCCGCGGUAAUACGUAGGUCCCGAGCGUUAUCCGGAUUUAUUGNNCGUAAAGCGAGCGCAGGCGGUUGGAUAAGUCUGAAGUUAAAGGCUGUGGCUCA